Molecule: long non-coding RNA, 7957 nt
Organism: Prinia subflava (tawny-flanked prinia)
Lineage: Eukaryota; Metazoa; Chordata; Aves; Passeriformes; Cisticolidae
Exons: 2
Source: RefSeq, a predicted model, not a curated record
CUUCUUGCAAGUAUUUAUUUCUUUUGUCCUGUUAACACCAAGCAGUGAAAGGAAUUGUAAGGAUUUUGAAGGGAGGGGGAAGGAAUGAAAGCAGGAGAAAGGAAAAAAAAAUAUGGACAUAAUGGCUUAAUUUCUCACAGCAUGUGCAGCACAAAUGAACAGUAAACAAAUCCCAUGGAAAAAUGCAAACAAAGGCUACGUUUGCUCAAAGUUCCAAGAAAAAAGCCCCUCGUGUGUGCCACUGAGCAAACAUUUCUGUGAUUAAACCCUCCGAGCCUCUGUGUGAUUUCUAGGCCAAUUCAGCCCAGCAGAUUCCUUCCCCCUUCUCCCAGAACAUCCCUGGGCUGCAGCAGCCACAGGGCUACGUUUCCAAGCCUUGUUUUGGUUUAAGGCAAGGAAAUGUUGUAAUUAUGGCAUUAAGAGGAAGCAGCAAUCCAAUCCAGCGAGUCACGGGCAAGUGUGAAAAUCCGAUUAGAGAUUUGCCACCGGGGUUUGUCCAUACAGAGUGAAAUAAUUAAGCAGCAGAUCAUGAACAAAUACCACAUUCUGUUGGGAUUUCUGACCCGGAUUUUGGCAACCCCAGCCAGGUCAGGAACUCAAGAUGUUGGCUGCCACCAAAGGGUCUUUCAGUGACCCUAAGGGUUGUACCAGCAGUACAAUCAUAAAUUAUCUCACUGUGUGACACCAGGUGAGACUGCACCCUUCUCUGUCACCCUGUGUGUAACAAAUGGAAGUGCUGCUCUGGCAGGGCCAGGCUGGCACAGGUGAGAGUCACACAAUGUGCAGUGCUUCUCCUGCAUUUCCUUACUCCCCAAACCUUGGCUGCAGCACAACUCUAGCCCACUUUAUUUUCUUAAGUGAACCAAGGGAUUUCCAGUGGGAUUAUUUUCCCCUGAUGAUCUGAGGCUGAGAGGCGGAUCCAGUGAAAGAAACAAAACCAAACUGUGAAAAUCCUCUGCUGUAAGUAAAGGCGAAUGCACUUUUGACAAUAUCCCAAGUUGGAGUUUUUUUCCCCUUGAAAAUGUCUAUAGGCACGUUUUUGAUCACAGGAUUGGAAAUAUGUCAUGAGAACACACUCAAAUAUGCGCUCGCAUUAACACUGCUGCCAGAAGCCAUCUCACAGUCAUCACCAGACAUUCUGGAGCCCCUAGAAAGCUUUCUGUGGGAUUGGAAGGCAUCCAACCAGGAGAAAGCAAAGCCACCAUGUGAUUGGGAUGGACAGAUCCACAGGAAAACUGUACAUUAAUGAAUGGCAAGAGCUCAAAGUGGGAGUUAGUGAAGAGCUUGCAAGGAAAUCACUGGCUGAGAACCAUCCUGUGCAUAAAAUAUUUGAUAAAUGAGACUCUGAAAGAAAUUAUGUAAAAAUGAUCCAUUGAAAGAAAACAGGCUGAUUUUACAGCAAGAAUUGCCCGUGUAAAGCAGUGCUGCUGGCUGUAAUAAAGAUCACUGGAACACAAGCUGCUCACCCAGCCUUAAAGGAUGUGUGCCUUAGACUGCAAAAGGACAUUCUGAAGUACCGUGAAAAUAAUCUAUUUUGCUAUUUGUAUAUGGUAACUUAUCAGAAGAAAUCAAACAGCAGUGCUGGGUAUUGGGGCUUGCACCGUGUUUCUAUUUUUCAACAGAUGAUUUUUACCUUAUGAUUCCCCCUCUAACCACAAAGUGAGGUUCUGGCCACCCACUCCCUCCCAGUCCUUCCCAGUUCAAAUUCGGAUCGUGUAGGUGUUAAACAGAAUGUGCAGUGAUGAACAGAAGUAACAGCUCUCUGGGGCUCAGCUACACUUCAUGCUUCAAAGGAACAAACCAGGAGAUAUUUUGGGCAGUUUGCAGAGUUCAUGCCUGGGAAGGUGUGCACAAGGCACAGGUGAGGGAAUGCCUGAGGGGAGGGCGCAGAGAGGAGCAAUGUGCAAGCACAGCAUUCUGGCUCAGGAGCUCUCCAAACACAGCCCUCUCCAACGGGAACAACUGGAAGAGACAGAUGAAAUGAUGAAAAAUGAAGGGAUCAGCAGAAAUCAGACCUAAUAUAAACCCAACUAAAAUAAACUCAGCAUGGCUCCUUGUGGCUCAUUCAAAAGCAGCUCUUCUCCAAUGAACUCGGGUCAGGGGAAAGAUGGAACAGAACUUCUCUGCUCUGUGCCUUUAGGAGCCUCUGGCAACUCUGACUGGCAAUGGGAAGAGGUUUUUAAAGGGAAAUACUGAGAAUUGCAACUCUACCUCCUACAUUGCAUCACAGGAAAUGUGACAUCUCCAGCCAGAAAGUGUAACUGCUCCUAAAUCCUGGGCUUCAGAAUUUGAAAGAAUUAACAUUAUUUUCAUAAUUGAUGUGGGGUCAGAGCUGUGUGUACUUGCCUGAAUUCAAAGCCAAGCAGUAGUUUGUACAUAAGAAAGAUUACAAUUCUGUAAUUGAUUUUUAAAACUGGAAUGAAGAUGCUUUGACUCUGCAUGUGUAAAACAGAAUGAGGUCAGGAGGCUCAGUGCUGUAUUCCUGGGAUGAUGGACGCAGAGCAUUCUAGUAAGCAAUUAAAAUGAGUUGGUUCUAAAUGAUUUAUGUGCUUUUUAACAUUUCUAGAAACUUUUGGUACAGGAUAUCAACAUUUUAAAUUACUUUUCUACAUCAGCAUCAGAUCACUUCUAAAGAAAUUCAAGGCUAUAUUUGAUCACUUGAUUAACAUGGUUGUUAAACCUCAGCUAAAACAACUGGAUAAUAGAGAAACUGAAUGUGGUUUAGGAUUCAAAAAUAUUAUAAUAGUUGAUAUGGGUGAAGAAGGUUUUUUGGCUAUAGCAGACAGUUGAGAAACAUGCCAGAUUGUUUCUACUGAAUAGUCAAAAAUAUUAGAAUACUGAAAGUUACAGACUAUUCAGCCACCAAAGCACAUGUCAUAGUUGCUUGCUUGUGUCUCUCUCCACUGUCUUUUGCACAGUCCUUACAACAGGAGUAAAACAUUCCCUGGCUCCACAAGUGUUCUCCAUGAAUUUGCAGCUCUGAUGGGAGUUCAGAAAAGAACACAAGGUAUUUUAUUGCUGGGAAGAAGAGAGCCAAGCUGAUCUGUGAUUCUGUUUAAUCCCAUGGCUGAAUUGAGUCAAACAUACUCUUCCACAUUUAUUACAAUUAACAAGGGGAGAUGUGGCCCAAGACCUCAAAGGAUCAGGUAGGAGCUGCUGUGGCUCCUUUUUCUGGUACCUGAGAGACUCCUCCAUUCUCCAAAGCUGACACUGACCCAAAGAAUUGCUCUCUGAUGGAUGGAUUUUAUUUUUUUAGCACCUAUUUUGCUACAUUUAACAGUUGAGAGAGCAGAGAUCAUGAGCUUGUCACCUCUGCUGCUACUUGUAGUAGGCAGAGUUGAAGGAGGUGUAAGACUGUGUGGAGUGAACUGACUUCCCUGUGACAUGUCUUCAGGGAAUCAGUGUUCCAGCAGACUCUGCAAACAGGAAUUGUGUGUUUGGAUAUCGCUUGUUUUCCACUAUUGCCAUUUCCAUCUUCUGUGAACAUCCCUCUGACAUGAGCCCUUUUGUUCUUAUUCCAUAUGACAGCAGUAUUCACAUCACCAAAACACCCCAGGAACCCCCUCACCCUGCACUUACUUCAGUCCUCUCUGCACAAAGGCAUUAACAGUUGACUUUCCUGGAAAAGAUAGCAAGGAAUUGCCUCCUUAUCUUAGGGCUGAAGUUAAAGCUGCCAGCCCAGUCUGGGAACGCUGAUCAGAUCAACAGCGAUGCCCAAGGGCAGCUGGUGGCUGCACCCCAGAGUGUCUGAGGCUAAACAUUAAGGGAGGUCUCAGUUCAUGAGCUCCUGAUGCUCAGGGUUUGCACAGGGUGGUCCAAGGGUCCGGUCAGGGCUCAGAUCUGAGGCAGGGGGUGGGAGCUGCUCUCAGCUCUGGCACCUCUGGACAAGCAGAGCCCUCCCUCAGUGCUUGGGUUUAUCUGGUACCUGAUGUCACCUCCUCCUUUCAUCUGGAUUUUUCAAGAGCGUCCUGUGGGACCAGAAGUUCACACCCCUCUGUUCAGAGUUUGUGUGUGCAGCCUUUCCUGUACUGUGACAGUGACCUGCUCAUCAAACCAAACUCGGUGUCAAAUGCCUCAGGGACCUGCAGGGAGACAAUUUUGGAAGCCAGGGUCAGACAGAAGCCAGCAGGCUUCUGAGAUGGAUUAAGGCAUUGAUCUUCCAACAGUGUUCCUCUCCUUAGCUCCACCUGGCUUGGGGAGGGAAGAAAUCCAAUGGGAACUCUUCUGUAUUCUUUUCAUUAUCAUUUGAUUAACAGACAGGGAAACUUCAUGUCUAGGAUGGCUGUCUGUGAAAAGCCUGUACAAUACAGAUGCAGCAAACUCAGAUGAGGAAAAAUCAUAUUUAAAAAUUGCUUUUGCUUAAGAAAAAAAUAGGAAAUGGAAGCACAUCUACCUAGUACCACCAGGUCAGGAUGAUUACUGACACAAGCCAGAGAACCACACGUCCUUGUCAUACCUACACAUGAUGGAUGGCCCUUGCAGCUGGAAGAAGUGAGUAGGGUGUCAAACUGACCCUUGUUUUUACAUGUUUGGGCUGCUUUCCCUCCCUCAAAAAAACAAGAGUCAGCCAUCAGUUACCAGCAUAUUGGAGUUUCCAAGCCAGCAAGCUACAAAAUUAAUUGACUGCUUUUUAGGGCACGGUGACCCACUGGAAUGAGCAGGAGCAACAACAGGCUUCUUUUAUAGACUUUGCAUUUGGCUGGAAAUCACACGCCUCUGUUAUUAUAUAACUUCAGGGAUGGUAAGGUGGCAUCUUGCCUCUGUCUGUUUAGGGCCAUCACACUCCCCCUAAGAUUGCCUCUUGUCUUCUAUUUUGUAUUCUCAUACACUUUUCAGUCACUCUCCAAUUACAGUGCUUUCUUCCCUAAUUUAAGGAGGAAUUGUUCUAGUUGCACGCAGAAAAAAAUCAUUAUAUGAUGUAUUAAAAAUCACCACAUAUUUGCCUUAAUUUUUUUCCUGUGCUAAUAUGUCACAAUGCCCAUAGCAAGGUGAGCAUAAGGAACCAGUAAGUUUGGACCCUUUGGGAAGGUGUGAAGAUCUAAAUUGUCUCAGAGGUUUGUGCCUUCAGUCCAGCCCGGGCUGGCUGGGUCACUGUGUGUUUCUGCUCACAGGAUCUGUUACAGAACAGAAAACUGUGUGAUGUUGAAAGCAAAGAUGACAGGAACUGGGCAGGGCCUUGCUGCAGUCGGUGGUACAGGGGACAAUCAGGUGUGUCCUUGUCUUCCACCUCUGCUCUGCAGCUGGAGCAGCUCAGCCCCUGAACAGCCUCUCUCACUCCCUACCUGCUGAUCCAGCUCCUUGGAAGACAGGCAGGAGUGUCUGUGCUGAAGCUUCAGCUUCCUGAAGGUGCUGAAGGAAGGUGCUGAGGUGACCUCAGUAGAACAGAGGUGGUAAAGGUGCAAGAAGUAUCUGGAUUGCCACCUUCCCCCAGGAAACUGGGACAGAAGAGAAUGAGCUGCAGGGAGCAGGUGACGUUCUGGUUUUCCCCCUGUCUUUCUCUAAGUCCCUGAAUCUGUGGCUGCUGCUACUCACGGUUAAACAGCUCCUUCAGAAAAGCAUUAGGUCAAAGAGGAUGCUGCUCCCUAGAGAAUGCAACUGCUGCUGGUGACUGACAGGUCUGCUCAGACUCCAGACAUACCAGGAUCUUAGUGCCGGGGAGGUGAGAGCUACAAACAGUGCAGAAUAUUUUCAUUCUAAGGGCUGGUGGUUGGUAAAAAUACAAAAUACUGCAUUUGACAUAAUCUUGCUUUACCCCAACCUUGGAACCAGUGCUGUCAGAAAAGUGGCUGUCACCUAGGUUAAAUUUAUUAAAGCCACGUAAAGAAACAAAAACAAAAGAGAUGACCCAAGGCUCACCCUGUUCUUUUCUCAACAGUUGCAUUUCAGCUCGAGGAAGGCACUAGGCCACAUUAAUGUCUGCUACAAGCAGAUGUGUUCUCUUGGAAAUACAUGCACCCACUUAUGCUCUGCCUGCAUUAAGUCUGUUACUGGGUUUUUAGGAGCUUUGGCAAGUGCUAUCUGUUAAUAUCUGAAGGUGGGAGUGUUCAGGGAGUUGUCGGAAAGGCUUGCAAGACUAGAUCUGAUCAUACCCACCCACACUAAUUAACACAUUACAUAAAAGUACAACAAGUUUCUCUUUGCAAACAUCAGAAUCACUUGCCCAGGCACUUUCUGUGCAGUUCUAGAAGAACUUGAGGGACAGACUCUAUUGCUUUUUAACCUCAACAGAACAAUGGGUGAGUGGGGAGGGAACAGCUCCCACUUUCAGGGCCUACUCUUCUGUCAUGCUUCUAAAAAUAUGCCAUUGGCAGGGACACGGCUGGAACAACCUUUUUAAAGUUCACUGAGGGUGUAUGAGGGUGCUUUAUUUCUCAUCAAAAACCACAAAAUUAAGUAUUCAACAUGAGGGAUCAGAUUCCUAUACAAAGGCUCCUCCUCUCCCUGCCCUGCCUUGCUAAUUCUGAAAAUCACUUUGUAUAAACAGUGGCCCUUGAAGCCACCUUGAACUAAAAAAUCCUCCCAUUUAAAUUUGGCCUUUUUUUUGUCAGGGGAAAAUGUCCCAGACCAGCUCAUGUUUCUCUAUCAUUCAAAUUUUAAACCAAUCUCCUGUACAGGAGUGAUACUGAGGGCUCUUUACUUCUUCAGAGUUUGGAGUAAGUAAAACUGAUUUCCAGUGAAACUCCUGUGAGCUGCUCCUGCAGCUUCACCUGGAUUCCUCCAGCAGAUAUAAACAGAUCUCGAUUUUCUCCAGACUCUUGUAUGACAUCUGGCUUCAAGAUGGUGGCACAGAACAGUGCAGUGAUGACAUAGGAAAACAGAAGGGAAAAAAUAACUGUGCAGUGGAGAGCAGGAGGCAGCAGAGAGAGCGGGGAAAAUCAAAAUUAAAAUAAGUCAAAAGGCGGAAAUUCCUCAGAGAAGGCCUUAGGCUUCAACAAAGCUUGUCCACAUUUGCAGCACUUCAAGAUUACCCAACACUACCCUUAUGUGGGAAGGUCCCAGCAGACCUCAGCAGCAUUCCAGAGGAGCCUUUCUAUUAAAAAAAGCCUUCAGUGUCUCCAUCCACGUUUGCAGUUGCCUGCUGGAUGGAGCCCGUGCCGUCUCGCAACACUCACCAGGGAAGGAGCUCUCUUACCCAACUCCUCCUGGCUAUCUGAAGAGCAAAGUCAAUGUUUUCCUCAUUAUUUUCUGUUUGCUGCAGCCCUCUCCCCCACUGUGACUGCUAUUUGACCCUCUGUCCGCUCUGGGACCCUGGGGGAAGAGAGAGGGAGCUCUGUGUGUGUACCAGAGGAGAGAGAUGAUGAGGCUCAGCUAUGUUCUGACUUGUUUAUAUUCAUCAGAAAGAAAUCAACAGCACUUAGUGUGGAAGACAGCUCUGGAGAUAGGGAACAUCCUUUGUGCAGUGCAGGGAAAGGGCAGAUCUGUUACAGGGACAGCAUUUAGGGAUGAAUGGGGACGCCAGUGUGUGUUUUUACCUCAUUUUUGCAUUAGGAAGCUACCAAUAAACAGAAUCUCAGCACAAAGGUUUCAUUUUAAGGGGACACUGCUCUUUCACCACAGUUAUUUGCUCUUGCAGCUACAAGCCUGGCACACCCAGCUGGGAUUAAUGAGGAACUGGAAUGGAUCAGAGGGCAAGUUGGUAUCACCACUGCCCUCCUCUCCCAAACCUCUCCUGACAAACCUGUUACCUUCAGCAUUCCAGGCAGAUCCUGGAAGGGUUCUUCCUUCAUGGCACUUGACUUUUCAGUGAGAUGGGCUUCUCAAAAAAAUUGACAAAAAAUGAAGCUGGAAGCAUUUAUUAGGGUGAGCCUCAAAAUCACAGAGAUUGAAGUUUCUUUUCAUCCUCUCCAGAGAGCCUCAGACAUCCAGGAAUUCCAAGGAAAACUGCAUUCUAAGCAACACGUUCAGAGGUGUCACAGUGCUCCAGGUUAUAGCUCUGCCCUGACUGAGGGAGGAGAGC